This is a long non-coding RNA of Homo sapiens (human), 1841 nucleotides long. Ensembl annotates it as ARRDC1 antisense RNA 1. Its record names the gene ARRDC1-AS1. The record is from Ensembl. Lineage: Eukaryota; Metazoa; Chordata; Mammalia; Primates; Hominidae.
CGCGUUGGAGCUCGACCGGUGCGGCGCCUGCGCACUGGAACCAGGCGUGCGGCGCCCCAGGCGCCGGGCCUGCGGCGGCCGGAACCGGAACGCGCGCCCGCGGGGUAGGAGACCUGGAGCUGGAGAACCCGCCCGCCAGAGUCGUAGUAGUGGAUGGGGAGUAGCCGUCCCAUUUUCAACACAUGUCUCAUUCUAAAUUGACGUUUUGGUGGGCUGGCCGAAGAAGGAGAAAGACCCGCGGCUCCGACCUCUGACCUCUAACCCCGGACGCACUUUGAUUUCGCCGGCUUGCGCGGAAGGCUGACUCCCUGGGCCGCGGCCUGGCGCGGGAGCCGCCUGUGGGGUGUCCCCGGCGCGGGAGGGUGCUCUGGUUCAGGCAGGUUCCCGUUGCGGCGGGGUUCCCUCGGUUGGGAGGAAUGCCCCUGCCGAGGGUAUGCUCCGGCUGGAGGGGGUGUCCCUAACGGCGGGAAUACCUGGACUGGCUGGGGUGUCCCACUGGGGAGGGUUUCCCGGUGGGGAGGUGUCUGGCGGGGGAGCGGCUCCGGCUAAGCAUGGGUGUUCUGCUAGGAGGAUGUGUCUGGCUGGGGGCGGUGUCCCAAUCGGGAGGGUUGCCCUGAUGGGGGAGGUUCUACAGUUGUGGAGAUGCCAACCUGGGGGGCGCUCCGGUUGGGGGGUGUGCCCUCUCUGGUUACCCCGCUCUCGCUGCCACUCAUAGGCCCGCUGCCCAGGUAUGCACAAGUCAAGGCCUUUUCUGCAGACCAAGUAGCCUUCCCUGGAGAGCGCCCCCAGCACCACGGAAACUACCUACAUGCCCCGCGGUGGUCAGCCCGCCUUAUCCCAGCCCCGAGACCCAAAACAAGAAGCAUGGACUGAAUUUGAGGUUUCUGGAUGGUCGUGUGAACCGAGGGGACGGGUACUGGACUGACAAGAAAUGAGCCUUGAAGGUCAAUCUGGGUGACACCCGAGUCUCCUGAUGGAGUUUCACUAUGUUGCCCAGGCUGAUCUGGAACUCCUGACCUCAAGCAAUCCACCUGCCUCAGCCUCCCAAAGUACUGGGAUUACAGGAGGGAGCCACCGUGCCCGGCCUGGUCCUGUGCAUUUUAUAGAUAAGGUAACUGACAAACCUAGCCACAGUCACCCCUUCGCCCUAAAGGAGAACUGGAAUUUGAACCCAGAGCCUUCUUCACCACCAUCUCCGUUGUUUCUGGAAGCACCCUCCAGGCAGGCCAGCCAGCAUCACGGGGCCUCCCCUGGGGCUGGAACGUCUGCAGGAUGCCCCUUUGAGAAAUGCUGUUCCACAGAACCCUGCCUUUCAGGCCUUGGAGACGUGGGCAGGGGAGAAGCAGCGUCCCUCAGAGCCAGGCCUGGCAGUGGUGCUAGCAGGGGCCAAGGCCCAGGGAGCAGGGUCUCCUGUCGGAGGGACCUGGGCAAGCCCCUCCACGCGCCAGCGGGUUUCUCAGCAGGGGAGGUCCACACCACACCGCUUGGGAACCUGGGUGCCUAAACGCAACAGGAGCCAAGGCACAAAUUUAACCAAACACCAAGGUUGCGUGAGGCCCCAUUUCAUGAGCCGGGCUCCAAGGACGUGUCCUUAGGCGGCUCUGGAAGGCCCAGCGCCAGCCCCCGUCCUCUGUUAAAGGGAGCCAGCCCCGCGGCUCCGCCCAGGCAUGGUAGCCUGAGCGCGCCCCCAGGGUAGUAGGGGGCACCUGAGGAGCAGGGUCUGCCCUGGCAUGAGCAGAGCCCAGGAUGGGGUCAGGGUCAGGCCCUGCCAGAGGCUGGAGGGUGCCCAAGGCGAGGCCGGUGAGGCCCAGCUCUACAAAUAAAGUGUUUUAUUUACAGGA